RNAcentral lists this ribosomal RNA (541 nucleotides) under uncultured bacterium. RNAcentral describes it as "bacterial SSU rRNA". It matches the Rfam family "Bacterial small subunit ribosomal RNA", at positions 355 to 873 of the family's 1533-position model. The record is from RNAcentral.
UGAGGAAUAUUGCUCAAUGGGGGAAACCCUGAUGCAGCCACGCCGCGUGCGUGAAGAAGGAUUUCUGGAUGGUAAGCUGUUUUUAUGUGGAGAUAAAUGACGCUACCUGAAUUUUAUUGCCCGGCUCACUUGAUGCCAGACCCCGCGGUUCCGUGCCAGGGGCCGCGUUAUCCGGAUUUACUGGGCGUUAUCCGGAUUUAUACGGCUCUGCGGUCUGAAGUGAAAGGCAUCGGCUUAGCCGCGAAACUGCUUUGCUCACUGCCUGGCUUGAGUAUCGAACUGGCUCGCUUGAUUCCUAGUGUAGCGGCAAAUGCCUACAUGUAACGAAGAACUGCUUAGAUAUGAGCAACAUGCUGGAUUGCAACUGACGUUUAGGCUCGCACGCCUGACGCUCAAACUCGAUUGUAUACCCUGCAAACCCGAUCAGAUACCCAGGAAUACCACGUGUUGGUGCACGAAUGCCCUCUGUGCCUUCACUUUCGAAUUAACNAUUCCACCUGAGCAUUACGUACCCCACCUGGAGACUCCNCCGACUACACUG